Molecule: ribosomal RNA, 495 nt
Filed under: uncultured bacterium
Lineage: Bacteria
Description: bacterial SSU rRNA
Rfam family: Bacterial small subunit ribosomal RNA
Source: RNAcentral
GAUGAACGCUAGCGGGAGGCUUAACACAUGCAAGUCGAGGGGUAAAUGGUAGCAAUACUAUGAGACCGGCGGACGGGUGCGUAACGCGUAUGCAACAUACCUUGUGCAGGGGGAUAGCCCGUGGAAACGCGGAUUAAUAUUCCAUAGUCCAGCUAUAUCGCAUGGUAUAGUUGGUAAAGAUUUAUCGGCACAAGUUUGGCAUGCGUCUGAUUAGCUUGUUGGUAGGGUAACGGCCUACCAAGGCUACGAUCAGUAGGGGUUCUGAGAGGAUUAACCCCCACACUGGUACUGAGACACGGACCAGACUCCUACGGGAGCAGCAGUGAGGAAUAUUGGUCAAUGGGCGGAAGCCUGAACCAGCCAUCCCGCGUGAAGGAAGACAGCCUUACGGGUUGUAAACUUCUUUUCUGUCAGAAGAAUAAGCUUGUCGAGACGAGUGAUGCCGGUAUGACAGGAAUAAGCAUCGGCUAACUCCGUGCCAGCAGCCGCGGUAAA